Molecule: ribosomal RNA, 394 nt
Filed under: uncultured bacterium
Lineage: Bacteria
Description: partial 16S ribosomal RNA
Rfam family: Bacterial small subunit ribosomal RNA
Source: RNAcentral
CCUACGGGUGGCAGCAGUGAGGAAUAUUGGUCAAUGGGCGUUAGCCUGAACCAGCCAAGUAGCGUGAAGGAUGAAGGUUCUAUGGGUCGUAAACCUCUUUUAUAUGGGAAUAAAGUGCGGGACGUAUCCCGUUUUGUAUGUACCUUAUGAAUAAGGAUCGGCUAACUCCGUGCCAGCAGCCGCGGUAAUACGGAGGAUCCGAGCGUUAUCCGGAUUUAUUGGGUUUAAAGGGUGCGUAGGCGGCCUUUUAAGUCAGUUGUGAAAGUCUGUGGCUCAACCGUAGAAUUGCCGUUGAAACUGGGAGGCUUGAGUAUGUUUGAGGUAGGCGGAAUGCGUGGUGUAGCGGUGAAAUGCUUAGAUAUCACGAAGAACCCCGAUUGCGAAGGCAGCUUGC